AAACGAUCAGUUUAGGAGUGUGCAAUUUGGUAACCUUCAUAGGCUUCAUGUUCUGACGAAAAAUUCAGACAUUUGAGUUAAUUGCCACUAGGUGGCACCAUUAUGAAAUGUAAAACUCAUUUCAGAGUGGACGUUGCAUGCUGGGUGCGGUGGCGCGCGCCUGUAAUCCACGUCACUGGGAGGCUGAGGCUGGUGGAGCUCUUGAGCUCGGGGGUUCUACACUACCGUGGGCUUUGUUGAUCGGGUGUCCGCACUAAGAUCGGUGUCGAUAUGGUGUUCCUAAGGGAGCUCGGGAAUACCAGGUCGUCUAAGGAGGGGUGAACCGGCCCAGGUCGGGAACGAAGCAGGUAAAAGCCCCCGUACCGAUUAGUAGUGGGAUAGCACCUGUGAAUAGACGCGGUAGUGCAGCCUGGGUGAUACGGUGUGACCCAGUCUUUUAUAUUAUACACCUAUUGUGUUUAAUAUCCACUGCUUCUACGUCCUCAGAAGCAGCUGGAGAAGGACAGAUCAAGUUCGAAUCACAGUAAAAUGGUUAAAGUUAGACUACUAUUUAUAAUUCUUUCUCACAGUAAGCAAUGAAGUUAUUUUAAAAAACAUUAAUGCAUUAAUCUCUAAUAUUAUAUGGACACAGUGUACACUGUAAAACAUCUCUACAAAUCAGUAAUGCUCCCAGUCUACCUUAUUCCCCUGAUUCUUAAGUUGUUUCAUAAACACACCAUUUUAUG
Long non-coding RNA from Ictalurus punctatus (channel catfish), 725 nucleotides. The record is from Ensembl. Lineage: Eukaryota; Metazoa; Chordata; Actinopteri; Siluriformes; Ictaluridae.